This 448-nucleotide ribosomal RNA is filed under the name uncultured bacterium. Its description in RNAcentral is "partial 16S ribosomal RNA". It matches the Rfam family "Bacterial small subunit ribosomal RNA", at positions 330 to 792 of the family's 1533-position model. The record is from RNAcentral.
GCCAGACUCCUACGGGAGGCAGCAGUGGGGAAUAUUGCACAAUGGGGGAAACCCUGAUGCAGCGACGCCGCGUGAGCGAAGAAGUAUUUCGGUAUGUAAAGCUCUCUCAGCAGGGAAGAAAAAAAUGACGGUACCUGAGUAAGAAGCACCGGCUAAAUACGUGCCAGCAGCCGCGGUAAUACGUAUGGUGCAAGCGUUAUCCGGAUUUACUGGGUGUAAAGGGAGCGUAGGCGGCGCGUUAAGUCUGAUGUGAAAACCCGAGGCUCAACCACGGGAGUGCAUUGGAAACUGGCGGGCUGGAGUGCCGGAGAGGUAAGCGGAAUUCCUAGUGUAGCGGUGAAAUGCGUAGAUAUUAGGAGGAACACCAGUGGCGAAGGCGGCUUACUGGACGGCAACUGACGCUGAGGCUCGAAAGCGUGGGGAGCAAACAGGAUUAGAUACCCCGGUA